AAAUUGAAGAGUUUGAUCAUGGCUCAGAUUGAACGCUGGCGGCAGGCCUAACACAUGCAAGUCGAACGGUAGCACAGAGAGCUUGCUCUCGGGUGACGAGUGGCGGACGGGUGAGUAAUGUCUGGGAAACUGCCUGAUGGAGGGGGAUAACUACUGGAAACGGUGGCUAAUACCGCAUAACGUCGCAAGACCAAAGAGGGGGACCUUCGGGCCUCUUGCCAUCAGAUGUGCCCAGAUGGGAUUAGCUAGUUGGUGAGGUAAC
RNAcentral lists this ribosomal RNA (262 nucleotides) under Salmonella enterica. Its description in RNAcentral is "partial 16S ribosomal RNA". It matches the Rfam family "Bacterial small subunit ribosomal RNA", at positions 1 to 261 of the family's 1533-position model. The record is from RNAcentral. Lineage: Bacteria; Pseudomonadati; Pseudomonadota; Gammaproteobacteria; Enterobacterales; Enterobacteriaceae.